This is a long non-coding RNA of Mauremys reevesii (Reeves's turtle), 387 nucleotides long. RefSeq lists it as uncharacterized. The transcript has 4 exons. NCBI's taxonomy places the organism in Eukaryota, Metazoa, Chordata, Testudines, Geoemydidae. The record is from RefSeq and is a predicted model, not a curated record.
UUGCAGCUAUUUACUAGCUGUUCCCAUUCCAGGAUUGAACAUGAAGUGUGACUAGCUUAAUCCUGGGUCUUAAACAGAACCUGCCAAAUUUGAUUAGUAAUACGCAGAUGCCCCAACUGAGAUCAUAGCCCCAUUGCACAAAAAGAUCAGAAAGUCUGCAACAUGCUUCAUAAUGGACUGAUAGGUGUUAUUUGAGACAUGAUCAAGCCAGUUUCCAACAAAGUUACAUAGCGUAUUAGUCCAUCCACAAGUAAUAGGUCUGCUGCCAGCCCUGGAGCCAAGACACCACUGAGAACCUUUUCUUCUAAAAGUGGAAUCUUAUCCCUCACUGCUAAAUGACUCCGAAAAUGGUCCAGCAUAUUUUCUUGGAUUAGAUUCCACAUCCAC